Molecule: long non-coding RNA, 742 nt
Organism: Oreochromis niloticus (Nile tilapia)
Lineage: Eukaryota; Metazoa; Chordata; Actinopteri; Cichliformes; Cichlidae
Exons: 3
Source: RefSeq, a predicted model, not a curated record
AUGGGCUCUCACACCAAUGACUGCAGGAGGCCUUGAUUUGCUUUAGCCUAGCUUAGCAACCUGCUAGCAAGGACCGAGCACUUGUUAACACUGUGGCAGUGCAUGAGCUAGCGUUAGCCUGCCCAAUGUAAUGCAGUGGAAUACGGACUAGUGUAGCGUGUUGAAGCCCAGUCUAGUGGAGUGCUGUGUGCAAGAUCAUAGUAAGACUCCUUGCUAGCAUAUGCUUGUGUUUAAUGCAGCGACCUGCUUCUGCAUGGAGGUAAAUGAAGCUUUUAAGCAGGGCGGAGGGAAGGGGGACCGCUGAAAAGAUUAAUUGACUUUCUGCAGAGCUUCACUUAUCCUCCUCUGGCACCUUUGACUUGGAUUAUGGCUCUAAAGGGACAACUUCAAGUAAGCAGUGGAAAGAGAGCAAAAGGAUGGACUAUGAUUGGUUGCCAUCUAGUGGCUUUAUCUCCGGCCUGCUGCUCCUGCUGCACCAUGAAGGUUUAAAAUGUUGGGUUUAGUAGAUUUGACUCCUAACAAAGGCAGGUAAUAAGAGAUUUCCUCUACCCUUCACAGGUAAGUUGUUGUCAAACAUUUUUCUCAGUAUUUGUAGAUAUUAGGAAAUGGUUAUUAAUGGCUUGAAAAAAUAGUUUUUUGGUGUGACCCUUCUUAUUAAAUAUAAAACUACACUGACUUCACAGCAACUAAAUGGAACAGGACCUUUUGUUUAUGUUAUGAAAAUAUAGAUUUUUUUUUUUUA